Molecule: transfer RNA, 68 nt
Filed under: Gazella cuvieri (Cuvier's gazelle)
Lineage: Eukaryota; Metazoa; Chordata; Mammalia; Artiodactyla; Bovidae
Also listed under: 1 other name
Description: tRNA-Lys
Rfam family: tRNA
About the family: Transfer RNA (tRNA) molecules are approximately 80 nucleotides in length. Their secondary structure includes four short double-helical elements and three loops (D, anti-codon, and T loops). Further hydrogen bonds mediate the characteristic L-shaped molecular structure. tRNAs have two regions of fundamental functional importance: the anti-codon, which is responsible for specific mRNA codon recognition, and the 3' end, to which the tRNAs corresponding amino acid is attached (by aminoacyl-tRNA synthetases). tRNAs cope with the degeneracy of the genetic code in two manners: having more than one tRNA (with a specific anti-codon) for a particular amino acid; and 'wobble' base-pairing, i.e. permitting non-standard base-pairing at the 3rd anti-codon position.
Source: RNAcentral
CAUCAAGAAGCUAAGUAAGCAUUAACCUUUUAAGUUAAAGACUGAGGACAUAGUACCCUCCUUGAUGA